GACGAACGCUGGCGGCGUGCCUAAUACAUGCAAGUUGAGCGCUGAAGGUUGGUACUUGUACCAACUGGAUGAGCAGCGAACGGGUGAGUAACGCGUGGGGAAUCUGCCUUUGAGCGGGGGACAACAUUUGGAAACGAAUGCUAAUACCGCAUAAAAACUUUAAACACAAGUUUUAAGUUUGAAAGAUGCAAUUGCAUCACUCAAAGAUGAUCCCGCGUUGUAUUAGCUAGUUGGUGAGGUAAAGGCUCACCAAGGCGAUGAUACAUAGCCGACCUGAGAGGGUGAUCGGCCACAUUGGGACUGAGACACGGCCCAAACUCCUACGGGAGGCAGCAGUAGGGAAUCUGCGGCAAUGGACGAAAGUCUGACCGAGCAACGCCGCGUGAGUGAAGAAGGUUUUCGGAUCGUAAAACUCUGUUGGUAGAGAAGAACGUUGGUGAGAGUGGAAAGCUCAUCAAGUGACGGUAACUACCCAGAAAGGGACGGCUAACUACGUG
This 497-nucleotide ribosomal RNA is filed under the name uncultured bacterium. Its description in RNAcentral is "partial 16S ribosomal RNA". It matches the Rfam family "Bacterial small subunit ribosomal RNA", at positions 28 to 507 of the family's 1533-position model. The record is from RNAcentral.